RNAcentral lists this ribosomal RNA (253 nucleotides) under uncultured bacterium. RNAcentral describes it as "partial 16S ribosomal RNA". It matches the Rfam family "Bacterial small subunit ribosomal RNA", at positions 524 to 776 of the family's 1533-position model. The record is from RNAcentral.
UACGUAGGGGGCAAGCGUUGUCCGGAUUUAUUGGGCGUAAAGAGCGUGUAGGCGGCUUGCCAGGUCUGUUGUGAAAACUCGAGGCUCAACCUCGAGAUGUCGGCGGAAACCGUCUGGCUAGAGUCCGGAAGAGGAGAGUGGAAUUCCUGGUGUAGCGGUGAAAUGCGCAGAUAUCAGGAAGAACACCUAUGGCGAAGGCAGCUCUCUGGGACGGUACUGACGCUGAGACGCGAAAGCGUGGGGAGCGAACAGG